UGCCAGACUCCUACGGGAGGCAGCAGUGAGGAAUAUUGGUCAAUGGACGGAAGUCUGAACCAGCCAUGCCGCGUGCAGGAAGACGGCUCUAUGAGUUGUAAACUGCUUUUGUACAAGGGUAAACCUGAAUACGUGUAUUCAGCUGAAAGUACUGUACGAAUAAGGAUCGGCUAACUCCGUGCCAGCAGCCGCGGUAAUACGGAGGAUGCGAGCGUUAUCCGGAUUUAUUGGGUUUAAAGGGUGCGUAGGCGGCAUUAUAAGUUAGUGGUAAAAUAUUGGGGCUUCACCUCGCUACGCCAUUAAUACUGUAGAGCUAGAGAACAGACGAGGUAGGCGGAAUAAGUUAAGUAGCGGUGAAAUGCAUAGAUAUAACUUAGAACACCGAUAGCGAAGGCAGCUUACCAGACUGAGUCUGACGCUGAUGCACGAGAGCAUGGGUAGCGAACAGGAUUAGAUACCCUUGUAC
RNAcentral lists this ribosomal RNA (466 nucleotides) under uncultured bacterium. Its description in RNAcentral is "partial 16S ribosomal RNA". It matches the Rfam family "Bacterial small subunit ribosomal RNA", at positions 329 to 793 of the family's 1533-position model. The record is from RNAcentral.